AUGGAGCUGAGGAAGCGCCCGCGGCCGCGGCGCCUCGACCCCGACUUCGUCUCGUCGCCGCCGCCCACGCCGCCCAGGAAGCGGCCGCGGAAGCAGGACGCGGAGAGGAAGCAGCCACGGCGGCCCGCGGCGGCGAAGAGGCAGCCAGCGCCGAGCAAGAGGGCCAGGUGCGCGCAGCAGGGCAUCGGGAGCCCCGUCGCCGGGCUCCAGCCUUCCAGGUGCUGCAGGAUCGUGGCGCCGCUGUCGCGCGUCUCCUUCAUCCCCCGCUCUCGCGUCCCCUUCAACUGGUAUGAGCCGGACAUCUGGACGGAGGUGGCCAAGCACCUGCACGGCGCUGACCUGCUGAGGCUCUCCGCCACCUGCCUCUGGUUCUUCCGCCUCCUCUACGAGGACUCCAUCUGGCGCUACGCCUUCCUCCGCGACCUCUCGCUCCACACCAACGAUCCCAAGAUGCUCAGGCUCCUCCAGGUUCCCCGCCCGUUCCACCGCUCCUGGCGCCUCCUCUACGCCACCGCCUUCGACGAUACCCAUGCAUACUGCUUCCGUCAGCCCGAGAAGCACAUUGAGUGGUUUCGCAUUGGUGGAUUCCUGAUGGACACGCCGAAGCUGCUGCUGACGGCGAAGCUGGCACUGCCACCGUGGAGGCCGAUCCUGGAUGAUGGCCCGGAGAUCUCCAUCGGAUUCAUGGGAGCCUGCUUGCUCACCAACGUCCGCCCCGGGAUCUGGAUCGCUGAUAUGAACAUGGUGCGAUGCCCCGUGUGCAACCUCAACAAGUGCGAAGGGACGAUGCAGGUUCUGGACGCGCGGCACUGCGAGCUGUACCUGGAGAACAAGUUCAGGGAUGGGACCUGGGAGUAUGAGGACCUCGGCAGUCACUUCAGCAAUGAGAAGCUGGAUACUGCCGCUGCUGCCAUCUUCAACUACGACUACAUCGAUUCCCCAUGUGUCAAAAAUAUUCUCAACUCCAAGUCUUGGAUCCGGGAUCGCACCAACCUGCUGCCCAAGGGAUGCUUCACCCCGGUCGCUGUCGCCCUCAGCAGCAACCUCAAGCCCAACGAAGGGUUGCUGUCGAGGUUCCAGGCGAUGCGGGACAUGUCGAGGGGCGGGCAGAUCGUGUCUGUCAGGAUCACGCAGCAGCUCCUGUGA
This 1146-nucleotide ribosomal RNA is filed under the name Triticum aestivum (bread wheat). Its description in RNAcentral is "partial small subunit ribosomal RNA". The record is from RNAcentral. Lineage: Eukaryota; Viridiplantae; Streptophyta; Magnoliopsida; Poales; Poaceae.